CUCUUUACUCGUUCCAUAAUACAAGAUCACGUGACUUACACUUAGUCACAUUGCUUGCAAGGCUUGUGUGUGAUAUUGUAUUACCGAGUGGGCCCCGAGAUACCUCUCUGUCACACGGAGUGACAAAUCCCAGUCUUGAUCCAUACUAACUCAACGGACACCUUCGGAGAUACCUCUAGAGCACCUUUAUAGUCACCCAGUUACGUUGUGACGUUUGACACACACAAGGCAUUCCUCCGGUGCGAGUGAGUUAUAUGAUCUCAUGGUCAUAGG
RNAcentral lists this long non-coding RNA (273 nucleotides) under Hordeum vulgare. Its description in RNAcentral is "long non-coding RNA (HVUL_LNC007461)". The record is from RNAcentral. Lineage: Eukaryota; Viridiplantae; Streptophyta; Magnoliopsida; Poales; Poaceae.